This 484-nucleotide long non-coding RNA is filed under the name Carica papaya (papaya). Its description in RNAcentral is "long non-coding RNA (CPAP_LNC008068)". Lineage: Eukaryota; Viridiplantae; Streptophyta; Magnoliopsida; Brassicales; Caricaceae. The record is from RNAcentral.
UCGCUUUUUGAUCAAUCGUCGACUUUUGCUUCUCCAUCUGCUUCAGUUCUUCUCUUCUUGGAUCAUUUUCUGUACCCACCCAUGCCGAUAUUAUGCUCUCCAUUGACUUAGCCACCUAUUUGAGAUAAAUUUGGUUAAAAUAUAGGUAAUUAAAGAUUUACUAAGCUUCGUCCGCCUUCUUUAUUGAAUUUUUUAAAGAAAAUCAUGAUCGUGGACGUUUGGCACUCAAUAAUUUCAAUUUCGAGUCAAAGUUUCAGGUUUUGUCUUUACCCACUUUCUUUUUUUGUUUUUUGUUUUUGAGAUAAUGUCUUUACCCAAAAUUCUGUGAGGUGCAGGAAAAGCUUUCUGCAAAAGAUUAAAAGAUUGUUGUAUACCUCUUCUGGUCUGAGGAAGACGAUGUUCCCCAAAACGAUGACGUUUCCGGACUGGUCCAACAAUUUAGCCAACUCUACGGCUUGGUCCUCAUUGUUGCAUGCUUCAACGC